GGGGAGUGCCGGUCACGGUGAGGCAAGCACUCUGACGUGGAGAAAAGGACUGGGUGCCGGCAACACGAAAACAAAGGCGAGCGUCGAUAGCCGGCUUGGAGACUCGGCACGGCUGAGAAGGGGCUCGGCGAGCUCGAUGAAUGGACGAAGAGUGAGGGGACGCCGACGAGGUGACUCCACGGUGGGGCGAAGCACAGAUGCUGGGAGCCGGUGUUGAGCGUUGCUGCUCCGGCGAGCUGCUUAGUGGCUGGACGGCGUUGGAGAGAUGGGGGAAGAUGCCGACAUGGAGGAGACGAUUACAGGGAGAGUCCUCGCAACCUCGGCUGAGGAGCACGACGAGAGGGAGGAAGACGAGGGGCUGGAAACGAACGAGCAAACUGAGCGCGUGAUGGGAUAAGAAUGACGGAAAUGACUAGAAGCAAGGACAGCUUACGGAUCAGGUAGAAAGGAGAGGGCGGUGGAGAUAAAAAAAAUGGAACUCUUUUUUAUUCUACCCAAAAUCUGAACCACGCUUCAACCACUUGAGACAAAAAAUGCAGCAGCAGCCGAUUGAACCCACCCUGCUGACCCCCACGCAUUUGAUCUCAUCCACAACCGUGCAAAUGGAGCACAGCAGAGCGCAGAUUUUUUUUUUCCAGAAAUAUCUGCCAUCAACUUCGAUGCCGACUGAACACUCCACCCUUCUCCCCCCUUGAUCUCUCAAUUUGCAGUAAUAACAGAAAGGUUAUGCUGAAUAUAUAUGUUCUCCAAUCAACCCUCUAUCAAAUUGCUAUAGAAACCAUAGCCUUAUACUUCCUGGAUUCAACACCAAACAACCCAAAAAAUGGGUGAAAACACAGAACUCCAAUUCAGCUAACUGAAUAACAAACUAACCUCCCCAUCUGACAGCACGAAUUUUGACCCAAUUUUCUCCAAGGUUAGUGCAGCACUAAUCAAAGAUCUUCAAAGUCACUAUAGGGUUCUGGGACUCAAACUUCACAGUUCCAAAGUUACGGUGCCCAGAAAUCAACCAAAUUUUAUUAGCGCCUUUCUGCUGGUCUGAAUUUCGAGUUCAGAUCACCCCCUCCUCCUUUUCUGCUCGAGGCAGUUUGAGCCUCCCUUUUCUCCCAAACCAAUAUGGUGUCAAGCCAAACCUUCAUAAUAAAAUUUGUUCAUUGAUAUACGGUCUCCAACGUUACUACAAACUUCUUGGUCCAAUCACACAAGAAUCACAAGUUAUGAUACUCCGGAGUUGGUCACAAUUUACUGAAAUUCGUUUUUAGCUUUUGAAUCACAUUCAAUUCACAGCACCGAUUGGCAGUCAAUGUUCGAGGGCAUUUAACUUAGGUUUCUAUACAGUACCAGACCCAAACCUUCUCAAGAGAGUUGUUCACCUUUCUAUGGUUUACCAAUUCACUAUAGACACCAUGGUCCAACACUUUAUGGAUUAGCCACAAAAGAGCUCUGAAGUUCAGCAAAUUGCACUGAAAUUCAGUUUUCAUUGGACUGAGUGAAAUCCAGUUUGUGUGACUGACAGUCCCACUUUGGGCAGUAUUUACACCACUUUUUGUGUAGGGUCACGCCCAACACACUUUAAGGAACUUAUUCACUAACAUAUGGUCCUCAAACUUUCCACAAUAACUUCAGUCCAAAACCGUAUAGAUCAAGCACCACAAAGCUCCAAAGUUUAAUCAGACACAUAUUUCAGACUUAGGCUACUGCACAACAGUCAAUACUCUUUUAUCUGACAGCACAACUUUGUGCAGUGUUUUCUCUCAUUUCUAAGCAGUUUCAAGGGUAUGUCCCUUACUAGAGAUUACUCCCCCAACAUUGGUCUCCAAGUUUGCUACAGAAACUACAGCCUAAAAACAAAGGUAUUGACCACCAAGGAGCUCCAAACUUAACACUUUUAUCUGAAAUUCAGGUCUCAAUCAGCCAUAGACUAAGUCUGAAAUAAAACCUGUCAGUUCCACUUUGAACCACUUUUUCUCCUAGUUCCAUGCGGAUUUAGGGCUAGUACACUUAAUACAAGUUGUUCUCCUACAAUUACUCAACAAGUUUGUUACAGUGACCAUUAACCAAAACCUCUUGGAUUCCAAACUACAAUAGCCCCAAAGUUUGCUCCAAUUGCUGAAAUUCAGAAUCUGAAUUUCACUAAGUCUGAAAUCCAUAUUUUCUAACAGCUCUUCUUUAGACCAGUUCUUCUCCAAAUCCCAUAUAGAUUUAAGGAUAGGUUACUUAAUCAAAGUCACACUCCUCACAUAGCUGUAUAACUUUGUUACAAUGACCAUCUUCCAAAUGUUUAUAGAUCAGAAGUUAUAAAGGACCAAAAUUGCCUAGUUGCUACUAUUUUCAGCAAUUCCAAUUUGAGCUCAAAACUGAACUCUUGUGAUUUACUCCAAUUUUCUCCACACAACAUGGGAAUCUCCAAAUAACAAAAUUGUGCAGCUUUGGAAAUCCUACCAACUUGGUAUUUUUACCUAUUGCAAAAUGUGGCUAGAUCUCCAAAUCCACUUUUGGGCUCCAGUUUAGGGGUUAGAGAUACUACUAAUUCACAUAUCAAAAGCAAACUUAUCCAUCCUCCUAAAGCAAAGUUGCUCCUUAAUCUCAAAUCCAACUUUGGCUUAUAGAACUCAGGUCCAAAGUAUCCUUGAUUUAGGAGUUGUUUGCUUACACUCAAUUCCAAUCAAGGUUUUCAAGCCUUAGGAUUUUGAAGUUAAUCCUUCGGUCCAAGUAUUUCUUCCACUUGAUCUAUCUUUGAAAACAAACUUUCUAUAGACUCUAGGAAUUGCCUUUAGCACUUCAAGACUCCAAGCCAAUUUGUUACUUGCUCAAAGGGAUGACCUACUCCUGUUUAGCUUAGGUCCUUAACUAGGUCCUCUACUCUGCACAUAGCAUCACCUUAUUGUAAAAUUAUUGAUCUAGUGAAUGCAUUCUAGGUGUAACAAGCAAGUUAAUGCAAAUGCUUAUGAUGACAUGUCAAAGUUUUAGUUCACGUAACACCAGGGGUGUUACAGUCUUCCCCUCUAAAAAGAAAUCUCGUCCCGAGAUUAAAACUCUAGGCUAGAUAAUGGAAAAGGAAACGCUUCACCAGUUUCUUUCCCCAUUACUCCUAUAAGGCAAGGGUGUGUCCCUAUUGGUUUAUAUCAGAAAUAAACUACACAAACCUUAGGUUUACAGGGCACUAGAAACUCAGGAACACGCUUUUCUAAAUACUCCUCCAAUUCCUAUGUAGUUUCAUCUUCAUUGGGUUGGUUCCACUGUAGCUUGUAAAAUUUGAUAACUUUUCUUCAAGUGACCGAUCCUUUUGAUCCAAAACCUUUAUGGAAUAUUCCAAGUAGGUUAAAUCUGGUCCACGGUUAACAUCUAAAAUCUCAAUAACAUGCUUGGGGGCUCGAAGACAUUUCUUUAACGGAGACACGUGGAACAUGUUGUGCACUAUUGGAAGAUCUUCUGACAAAUGUUCCUUAUAAGCCACAGGUUCACCAAAACCUUUGUUUCGAAUGUUGGCAGUCUUCGUGAACAGGAAAAAGGUAGCAUAGAAAGGCAAAGACAGAUAGCAGGAAUAGGGUGGACGAAACAUGUACUAAUACUGCUACAUAGGGGGCUUAAUUUAAAAUUGUAUGUCAUGAUGCAUGCUCGUCCUAUUCGUCCUCACAACUCUUGCCAACAUAUAGUGGCUUUCACGUUCUAUGGCGGUGGCAUACCUACUCACUCGUUAUUUAUCACUAGUCGCACUUUCCUAGGGUUUAGUUAGUGUACCUGCAAAAAAUUGCAUUAUAGUUGUGGGUUAGUGGUUAGCAUCCUAAACUAAGCCACCUUAUAGUUCUUAACUUAACUAUAUACUAUUUGCACUUCGACUAUCAGGAUUUGAUCAUAUUCUUAUGUUUUUCCAAAAUAGUUUGGACUCAAAAUCCUUUUGAACUUUAUCAAAGGAUUACUUUAAUAUCCAUGAUAAUGGGGGAUCGCUCCGAUACCACGCUGUGACAGCCCUCCCAAGUUAUCAGGCCCACAUGCACCAAUCCUUGCCUUAAUGACCUCAGAUGGCUGUGCACGUGUACCGGGUAACUUAACAAGGCUAUCGAGUUCGCCAACUGGAACUCAUCAUCCCAAGGAUCUCCCACAUAACAGGUAUAUUACAGUAAUCACAUUUGAUACACACACAUUGGAGAUAGAGCGGAAGACUUUUACAAAGUACACUUUACAUUCCAGAACUCAAGUUUUACAUGGUAGAAAGAGAUGUAUUUAUUACAAGUCCUGAUAGUACUCGAUGUGCAUAACUUAUUACAAUAAUUGGAAGGGUGAAGCCUUUCCAUAAGAGAUAAAAACAUUCUAAGCUUCAAGGCCUCCACAUGAAGUAACUAACCAAAAGAUAAGGGAAUAGAACUUCUCCUGCAAAAACAACAGGGGAUAAAACCCUGAGUACGCAAUUACUCAGCAAGACUUACCCGACUAAAGAAAAGACUCUCAAGGGUAUGCUAGCUGAUUGGGAGUCAAGGUAAAGUUUAUCAAUGAUCAAAGACUCCUUUUUUGCAGAAAAGCUUGCUACCAGUUGAUCCUUAAGCCAAGUUUUAUUUCACUAGUUAGGUUAUUACCUGAAUCUAUAUUUGCCUGAUCUAGUUCAAGCACUUGGCCUAUACUAGCUCCAUUUUAUUCAUUCUCAUAUUUCACUUGCUAACUACGAUGAUGGUCACCGGGAUGAGUCUCCAUAACCGAGGAGCAACGACGAUUCGAACCGAUUAUACCCAGCUGGGGAUCUCUAACCACACGACAUAUGUAGCACUUAACCCUUGCAUAUGUCAACCGUUCCCACGGAGUCCUCCACUACAUGAACAGGUCCGCGCCACCCGAGAGCACAUUACCCUACCAAGCGUGCUACUAUGCCAGGAGGGUACAUGCUACUCCCGCCAUCUCUCCACUCCCAGUGCGCGAUUGUCUCUUCACGUAUGGAAUAGCCGGGUUCAAGCUUACCCUGUCCCAUACCAGGGUAUGUGGCUAGUUGCAAAGUCUCAACCACAACAGGCCAGUCAACGGUACGGUCCUUAAUCGACACAGACGGGCGACUCUGUCUGCUCAGCGCCUGGUCUAGAUUUAUUAACCAUUUCCCCAUUUUUGGUACCCGGCAGGGGUACUCUUUUCCAAUGAUGAGCCCACUCCGGCCGAAGUGGAGUCAUCACCUUAGUUUGCUUUGAUUUUUGAAUCAAAAAGCCGAUAACCAAUGUUCCACAAUCAUUCUUUUUGAAAACAAAUGAUUUUUCAGUUUCUAAGCAGGGUUAAGCAUUAUCAGUUCUUUUUAUAAAUCAGGGAUCAAGGUAUAGUAUUCAAAUUCCAAGGAAUGGUAAUGCAUCAAUUGUUCAUCACACAACUCCUAUUACCUAAUGCAGCAUAUAAGUGAUAAAAUUUUGUAAUACAAGGAAGGUGGCAAAUGCACCGGGGCUUGCCUUAUUGCAGGAGAAGAUCCCAAAAUCCUUCUACCCAACCUUUAGUUAGAUAGCUCCAUCCACUUGAUGAGCAGGCAUUGGAGUAGACUCCUUCAAACACCACUUCUUCUAGAUGUUCUACAAGUCAAUUACAAAUACAUGUAUGCUUAUGUUAUGAUAUGAAAUGCAAACUCUCAUAAGGAGAGGUGGGGAACAUAAACACUCCUAAAUAAGUACAUGACAAGUAUACACAUACUUCUACACAACCUAGCAUUCAAUAAAAGUGACCAAUUGAAUUCACUUAGAUAAACUAGGGAACUAAUCCAACUUAUAUCUCAUCCAAAGCUUAAAACUUCUUAAACAAGUCCCUCACUUCACUAAACUACUAGGUGUCCUCAUUUCAUAGGUGAAAUCCUUUUCUUUUUGGGCAAUAAUUAGUUUGCUAACUAAAUCAUAUCCAAAUAGUUCCAAACUUUGCCCAAGGGUUCAUCUUCUAAUAACAAGCUUCUCCAAACAAUUUCAUGAUUUUUGGUGCUCAACUCUUAUUUCUAAAAUUCCAAUAGUCCUUCCAAGAGCACCUUUAAUUCACUUAAUAUUUUAUAACUGCCUUAAAAUCCUAAAUCUAACUUUACCAGAGAGCUCAUGAAUCUAGACAUCCAACAAAAUUUGUCUUGCUAUUUUUGGAUUUCUCUACAAUUUUUGGCACCCUUUCAAAGCUCUCAGACAAAUAAUAAAGGGAAACGAUUUAAGCCUAGGCUGACUCCGGCCCACACGACCCACUACCAGGCCAAAGUCGGCCUGCGGCCAGGAGCCCGCGCGUCCACACACCCGACUUUGCACGGAGGCCCUUGGCUUAUUGAGAACUCAAUCAAGACCCAGGGCCACUAUUUCUCUGUCUCUCUGACAAUACACCGAGAUCCCUGACUUUAUCCUCCUUCACAUAGUCACCCCCUCAAAGGGACUCCGAUCGAACACCUGUGUCCGGUCGAGGAAACUCGUCGCCGACAACCUUCCCCGGCGAUAGCAAGUGCUCGAGCGUCACCACUUAGCUAAUGCGACAUAAACCCAUACACUAAUUUGCCCAUUACACCAUAGGGAUAUCAUGACCACGGUGCUGGCGGAAAUCGGGACUCCGGUGAGCCUGUUCCUAACAACAUAGCAUGGUAGCGCCCGAUUAAUUAGUUUGAGAAGGAUCGGUAACUCACCACCGCUACGGUGCUCGCGCAAACUCAAUCAAAGAACACUCGAAUUGGCCGGUCCACAAGGCGAUGGGUUCGAAGCGGCGUUCACUGACGGCGACAUGAUGUUCCCAAGGAUCUGUUACGGUAGAGUUCAAUCGAGCAGGAUGGUAAGCAUCAACAUAUGUCAGGAAAUUCAGAACACACCAAGUCUUGGCUGCGAUUACCUCGGGGAGUGCCGGUCACGGUGAGGCAAGCACUCUGACGUGGAGAAAAGGACUGGGUGCCGGCAACACGAAAACAAAGGCGAGCGUCGAUAGCCGGCUUGGAGACUCGGCACGGCUGAGCAGGGGCUCGGCGAGCUCGAUGAAUGGACGAAGAGUGAGGGGACGCCGACGAGGUGACUCCACGGUGGGGCGAAGCACAGAUGCUGGGAGCCGGUGUUGAGCGUUGCUGCUCCGGCGAGCUGCUUAGUGGCUGGACGGCGUUGGAGAGAUGGGGGAAGAUGCCGACAUGGAGGAGACGAUUACAGGGAGAGUCCUCGCAACCUCGGCUGAGGAGCACGACGAGAGGGAGGAAGACGAGGGGCUGGAAACGAACGAGCAAACUGAGCGCGUGACGGGAUAAGAAUGACGGAAAUGACUAGAAGCAAG
RNAcentral lists this long non-coding RNA (7230 nucleotides) under Zea mays. Its description in RNAcentral is "long non-coding RNA (ZMAY_LNC001271)". Lineage: Eukaryota; Viridiplantae; Streptophyta; Magnoliopsida; Poales; Poaceae. The record is from RNAcentral.